GCUAAACUCUAAAGUUGCUAAGAGCACUAGCUACUCUGAUGCAGGCAGCCAUCACCAUUCGGUGACUAGCAUCGACUGGCUUAAGAUUUAGGUCUUGAAAUUUCUUGUUUGACGGCGGCGAAGAAAAGAAUCCCAGCGAAGAAAUUCAAGGAGCGAAACAGAACAUACUUCUCCUUCACAAGGCGUGAGUAAUAUUUAUUCAUAAUGAACAAGAUGAGAGGUUUUGCUUCGUCUACUCCUCUCUUAUCGACAUCAAGCAUAACCAAUCGUGGGAAAACAUUCUUCAACAAUAGGACUGUGGAGAGUACGGACUGUGUUCUUCAAAGAACGGAAGAUGGGAAAAUGCUAGUCACCGCACGAGUUACUUGUGGAUGUAGACAUGGCGCCCAAAUAACCGUAGGAUUGGGCAGUCACCCAAACAUCCCAUCCAUCUCGAAGACUUGGGGCUUAUGGAUGGUCGCCACAUCAACCCUCGCGAGCAACUCACAUGGUGUCUAGCAGCGUACACUUCACAAGCUUUCCUAGUUUUUAUGUGAAGUUUGAAGUCAAAGACAAGGACUUGGAAUCGCAAGAGAGUAUGAUGGAUUUAUAUGAAAGGUGGAUGACACAUUUUGGGAUUUUUAGAGUCGACCCCCUAGAAAAGUGGACACGCUUUGAGAUCUUUAAGGAGACGGUGAAAAAAAUCGCGCAGCUAACAUUUUUGCAGAUGGCCGACGAAGAGAGAGGUGUCGUUCGAUCACAGGAGACCACAGACACUUCUUUGAUUCGUGGAAGCAAUCAGCAUCAGGAAAAGUACGUGAAGAAUGACAUGUUUUUCUGUAUUAUCAGUUUUAAUAACAAAUUAUAAUAUAGUAGGGAAUUUUGAAUGAUCUCAGUAUUCAGUACUACUGGUGGAUAUUUUAAAACUCUAAUUUGUAUUCCUCUCAAGGCUAGGAUGGUUGCCAAUGCUAGAACUAAUAGCUUCAAAG
Papaver somniferum (opium poppy) is the source of this 968-nucleotide long non-coding RNA. RefSeq lists it as uncharacterized. The transcript is spliced from 4 exons. The record is from RefSeq and is a predicted model, not a curated record. Lineage: Eukaryota; Viridiplantae; Streptophyta; Magnoliopsida; Ranunculales; Papaveraceae.